This 76-nucleotide transfer RNA is filed under the name Gammaproteobacteria bacterium. RNAcentral's name for it is "tRNA-His". It matches the Rfam family "tRNA". From Rfam's summary of the family: Transfer RNA (tRNA) molecules are approximately 80 nucleotides in length. Their secondary structure includes four short double-helical elements and three loops (D, anti-codon, and T loops). The record is from RNAcentral. RNAcentral also lists the same sequence under 2 other names. Lineage: Bacteria; Pseudomonadati; Pseudomonadota; Gammaproteobacteria.
GCGGAGGUAGCUCAGUUGGUAGAGCAACGGGUUGUGGCCUCGUUGGUCGGGGGUUCGAGUCCCCUCCUUCGCCCCA